This 273-nucleotide long non-coding RNA is filed under the name Jatropha curcas. Its description in RNAcentral is "long non-coding RNA (JCUR_LNC002722)". The record is from RNAcentral. Lineage: Eukaryota; Viridiplantae; Streptophyta; Magnoliopsida; Malpighiales; Euphorbiaceae.
UAAAUUGAGAGCUCACAAUUAUUUACAUAUUUUAAAUAUUUGAGUAACUUUUCACGAAAUAUUAAUGUUAUAUAGAUUAAUUUUUUAUAAAACGAGUAUAAAUGUUAUAUUUUCUAACACUGUAAAUAAUAACACGGGUCAAAAUGCUAAAAUCUCCUUUAAAAAAAAACUGUUGACAACGCGGCCUAUAAGAUGAUAUUUUGAAAUGGAGUGGGAGACAAAACGUGUGGGCAAGUAACAAUGUUACUAAUAAAUUACAUGGAUUUGAGUUAG